GUGAUAGGGUACUUUUUGUAGAACGGUCCGGCGAGCGAUUGUAUGCAGCAAGGUUAAGGACUUAAGGUCUGGAGCCGAAGCGAAAGCGAGUUUGAAAAGGGCGUUAAGUUGCAUAUAAUGGGCCCGAAACCGGGUGACCUACCCAUGGUCAGGUUGAAGUGGAAGUAAAAUUCCAUGGAGGACCGAACCGACCUCCGUUGAAAAGGCGGCGGAUGAACUGUGGGUAGCGGAGAAAUUCCAAUCGAACCCGGAGAUAGCUGGUUCUCCCCGAAAUAGUUUUAGGACUAGCCUCAAGUUAGAUACCUGGAGGUAAAGCACUGAAUAGCCUAGCGGCCGAGAGGUUAGCGAAGCUUAUCAAACUCAGAAUGCCAGAGUAUUGAUGCUUGGGAGUCAGACAGUGUCAGAUAAAUGUCAUUGUCAAAAGGGAAACAGCCCAGAUCUACAGCUAAGGUCCCAAAGUCAGGUUAAGUGGAAAACGAUGUGAAGAUACGCAGACAACCAGGAUGUUGGCUCAGAAGCAGCCACUCAUUCAAAGAGUGCGUAAUAGCUCACUGGUCGAGCGUCUUUGCGCGGAGAAUUUAACGGGGCUAAACCUGACACCGAAGCUUAGGCAAUGUAGUAAUACAUUGGGUAGGGGAGCGUUGUAUACGCGGAGAAACAGUAGCGCAAGCGGCUGUGGAGUGUAUAGAAGUGAGAAUGCCGGAAUGAGUAGCGCGAAUGCAGUGAGAAUCUGCAUGGCCGAAAGCCUCAGGUUUCUGGAGGAAGGUUCGUCCGCUCCAGGUUAGUCGGGAGCUAAGGUGAGGCCGGAAGGCGUAGCCGAUGCACAGACGGUAGAGAUUCCGUCACCACCAAAAGAGUUAAGCACAGGGACACAUAUGAAGUCUCAGAGCCGGGUGUUGGUUCCGGUAGAGAUCGAGGGAAGUUAGUACCGAAGUCUGAGAUGGAAGAUGGCGAGAAAAGCUGUGUGUAUUUCUGAGGUGCCCGUACCGCAAACCGACACAGGUAGGUAGGAAGAAGAUUCUAAGGCCAACGGGAGAAGGGUUGUUAAGGAACUCGGCAAAUUGACCCCGUAACUUCGGGAGAAGGGGUGCUCCAGAGAUGGAGCCGCAGAGAAUCGGCCCAAGCAACUGUUUACCAAAAACACAGGUUUGUGCUAAAUCGAAAGAUGACGUAUACGAGCUGACGCCUGCCCGGUGCUGGAAGGUUAAGAGGAGAUGUGCAAGCAUUGAAUCGAAGCCCCAGUGAACGGCGGCCGUAACUAUAACGGUCCUAAGGUAGCGAAAUUCCUUGUCAGGUAAGUUCUGACCCGCAUGAAAGGCGUAAUGAUUUGGGCACUGUCUCAACAGCCCGCCCGGCGAAAUUGUAGUACCGGUGAAGAUGCCGGUUACCCGCGACAAGACGGAAAGACCCCAUGGAGCUUUACUGUAGCCUAAUAUUGGGUUUCGAUGUUGCAUGCACAGGAUAGAUGGGACUCUUGGAAACCAAGGCUUUGGCUUUGGCGGAGAGGCCGUUGGGAUACCAUCCUUGCGAUAUUGGAAUUCUAACCUGCGGCUCUGAAUCGAGUCGGGGGACAUUGUUAGGUGGGCAGUUUGACUGGGGCGGUCGCCUCCUAAAGAGUAACGGAGGCGUUCAAAGGUUCGCUCAGCUUGAACGGAAAUCAAGCAAAAGAGUGCAAACGCAGAAGCGAGCCUAACUGCGAGACUGACGGGUCGAGCAGUAACGAAAGUUGGAGUUAGUGAUCCGGUGGUAUGUGAGUGGAAAUGCCAUCGCUCAACGGAUAAAAGUUACCCUGGGGAUAACAGGCUGAUCUCCCCCAAGAGUCCACAUCGACGGGGAGGUUUGGCACCUCGAUGUCGGCUCAUCGCAUCCUGGGGCUGUAUUCGGUCCCAAGGGUUUGGCUGUUCGCCAAUUAAAGCGGUACGCGAGCUGGGUUCAGAACGUCGUGAGACAGUUCGGUCCCUAUCUGUCGUGGGCGCAGGAUAUUUGAUGGGAGCUGUCCCUAGUACGAGAGGACCGGGACGGACGUACCUCUGGCGCACCAGUUGUUCCGCCAGGAGCAUAGCUGGGCAACUACGUACGGAUCGGAUAAACGCUGAAAGCAUCUAAGCGUGAAGCCGACCCAAAGAUAAGAUAUCCCACUGAUUCAAUCAGGUAAGAUCCCUUGUAGACUACGAGGUUGAUAGGCACGAUGUGUAAGUGGAGUGAUCCAUUCAGCAAGUGUGUACUAAUAGAUCGAGGGCUUGACCACA
RNAcentral lists this ribosomal RNA (2249 nucleotides) under Faecalibacterium prausnitzii. RNAcentral describes it as "bacterial LSU rRNA". It matches the Rfam family "Bacterial large subunit ribosomal RNA", at positions 593 to 2925 of the family's 2925-position model. Lineage: Bacteria; Bacillati; Bacillota; Clostridia; Eubacteriales; Oscillospiraceae. The record is from RNAcentral.